Tachysurus fulvidraco (yellow catfish) is the source of this 1145-nucleotide long non-coding RNA. RefSeq lists it as uncharacterized. The record is from RefSeq and is a predicted model, not a curated record. The transcript has 2 exons. Lineage: Eukaryota; Metazoa; Chordata; Actinopteri; Siluriformes; Bagridae.
CAUGUUAGGGUAAAAACACACCCUAGGCUAAAAAUUAACCCUAGGCUAAAACCUAACCCUAGUCGGACGGCUCUCCCAUCCAUUCUACUCUCCGAUGUUUGCUCCCUGGACAAUAAACUGGACUACAUCUGACUUGAAUGCGCUACACGGCGAGAGUUUAUAAACUGCUGCAUGUUUGUUUUCACGGAGACGUGGCUCAGAGACUCCGCCAUUCAGCUGGACGGGAUCACCUCAUUUAGAGCUGACAGAAAUGCAGCUAUGUGCGAGUUGGGAGAGAUCAUGGAAAAGCAGAUGCCCUCAGUCGUCUUCCUGUGUUACAACAAUCUGAGGAAGAACCAGAGGAAGAACAGGUACUGAUGCUGGACAGUGUAAUGGACCCCUUAACUACAGCAGAGCACAUUAGGCACUGAACUAAUAAAGAUCCUGUUUUAUCAAGAGUGUGUGAGUAUGUGCUUAAAGGCUGGCCUGAUCACAAUACAUCUGAAUUUAUAUUUUAUAAGUAAAGACACCAAGAGCUCAGAGUUCAGAAUGGAUGUGUGCUGUGGGAGCCCAUGUUCUUAUUCCAGUACAAGGACGUUUGAGUUUGUUGGAGCAGCUGCAUCAGUUCCACGCAGUUAUGUCAAAAAUGAAGGUGUUGGCCAGGAGUUAUAUAUGGUGGCUGAAACUGGAUGCUGAUAUUGCAGAAAAAAGCCCCUGCAAGGGCACCAGCCAUGGGAGUGGCCCAGACAACUCAGGAGGAGAAUUCAUAUGGAAUAUGCAGGUCCAUUUCUGGGUUUAAAUGUUCUUAUUUCUAACUGAUGCUCAUUCUAAGUGGAUUGAUGUCUAUCCGGUAACUAUAGCAACAACAGAUAAUACAUUGGAGUGUUUAUGGAAAAGUUUUAGUGUACAUGGGAUUCCUGAAAUGAAGCUGUUCUUCACAGGCUUUUAAUAAUGACCAGCCAUUACAUUACUGCCACUUGCUGGACAAACAUAUAUAGAUCUCUCCAUACAAAACCUUUUCUUUUUGGAUCUCUGUAAGUUUUUUAUUUUCACUGUAAAGUUUUUUCUUUCUGUUGUUUCCUUUGAUGUUAUUAUGAAUGUAAUGCAAUGUGAUCCUCUGUAUGUAUAUUGUUAUUGUUAUGCAGAAAAUAAAUAAAUAAAAAGUA